RNAcentral lists this ribosomal RNA (320 nucleotides) under uncultured eukaryote. RNAcentral's name for it is "partial 18S ribosomal RNA". It matches the Rfam family "Eukaryotic small subunit ribosomal RNA", at positions 1470 to 1796 of the family's 1831-position model. The record is from RNAcentral.
CCCCUAGAUGUUCUGGGCCGCACGCGCGCUACACUGAACAGUUCAACAAGUCUUAACCUUGGCCGAUAGGUCUGGGUAAUCUUUGAACGCUGUUCGUGAUUGGGAUAGACCUUUGCAAUUAUGGGUCUUCAACGAGGAAUUCCUAGUAAACGCAAGUCAUCAGCUUGCAUUGAUUACGUCCCUGCCCUUUGUACACACCGCCCGUCGCACCUACCGAUUGAAUGGUCCGGUGAAAUCUCGGGACGGCGGCUUGGUCGCUUGCGUCCGACUGCUGAAACUUGAUUAAACCAUAUCAUUUAGAGGAAGGAGAANUCGUAACA